This 429-nucleotide ribosomal RNA is filed under the name Bacteroidota bacterium. RNAcentral's name for it is "Bacteroidetes bacterium partial 16S ribosomal RNA". It matches the Rfam family "Bacterial small subunit ribosomal RNA", at positions 355 to 776 of the family's 1533-position model. Lineage: Bacteria; Pseudomonadati; Bacteroidota. The record is from RNAcentral.
UAGGGAAUCUUCGGCAAUGGGGGGAACCCUGACCGAGCAACGCCGCGUGAGUGAAGAAGGUUUUCGGAUCGUAAAGCUCUGUUGUUAAGGAAGAACGAGUGUGAGAAUGGAAAGUUCAUGCUGUGACGGUACUUAACCAGAAAGGGACGGCUAACUACGUGCCAGCAGCCGCGGUAAUACGUAGGUCCCGAGCGUUGUCCGGAUUUAUUGGGCGUAAAGCGAGCGCAGGCGGUUAGAAAAGUCUGAAGUGAAAGGCAGUGGCUCAACCAUUGUAGGCUUUAGAAACUGUUUAACUUGAGUGCAGAAGGGGAGAGUGGAAUUCCAUGUGUAGCGGUGAAAUGCGUAGAUAUAUGGAGGAACACCGGUGGCGAAAGCGGCUCUCUGGUCUGUUACUGACGCUGAGGCUCGAAAGCGUGGGGAGCGAACAGG